GGGUCAGUAGGCUGGUCGUGCCACCGGUACGUACUGGUCUCACUGAUUCCUCCUUCCUGAAGAACCGUAAUGCCAUUAAUUUGGCGUUGCGGGGAAACAGGACUGUCACUUUGAAAAAAUUUGAGUGUUUAAAGCAAGCUAACGCUUGAAUACAUUAGCAUGGAAUAAUGAAAUAGGACGAUCGAUCCUAUUUUGUUGGUUUCUAGGAUUGACGUA
Molecule: ribosomal RNA, 216 nt
Filed under: Glomeromycotina sp.
Lineage: Eukaryota; Fungi; Glomeromycota
Description: partial small subunit ribosomal RNA
Rfam family: Eukaryotic small subunit ribosomal RNA (bases 44-216)
Source: RNAcentral